CCUUUUUCUUUCCAUAGACAACAACAAUAAAAACAACUAUAAUUGAGAUGUUAAACUAAUGCACAAUUCAACCAUAAAAUCCUAAAGCCAACUAAAUCUUGAACCAAGAAUCAACUGAAGGCAAUGAUGAAGCUGUAAAGAUUUAUUUUUUGUCAUUUAUUGAAGAAACAGAUAUUUGCAUGAAUGCAAGACGUUCUUAGAUGGAGAGCGUUGGAGAGGGAGAGAGAUUGCAAACUAGAUUCCUGAAUUUACUAAUAC
Molecule: long non-coding RNA, 258 nt
Organism: Talpa occidentalis (Iberian mole)
Lineage: Eukaryota; Metazoa; Chordata; Mammalia; Eulipotyphla; Talpidae
Exons: 3
Source: RefSeq, a predicted model, not a curated record